UGUAGGCUGCAACUCGCCUACAUGAAGCCGGAAUCGCUAGUAAUCGCGGAUCAGCAUGCCGCGGUGAAUACGUUCCCGGGUCUUGUACACACCGCCCGUCACACCACGAGAGUUUGUAACACCCGAAGUCGGUGAGGUAACCUUUUGGAGCCAGCCGCCGAAGGUGGGACAGAUGAUUGGGGUGAAGUCGUAACAAGGUAGCCGUAUCGGAAGGUGCGGCUGGAUCACCUCCUUUCUAAGGAGA
RNAcentral lists this ribosomal RNA (244 nucleotides) under Priestia endophytica. RNAcentral describes it as "Bacillus endophyticus partial 16S ribosomal RNA". It matches the Rfam family "Bacterial small subunit ribosomal RNA", at positions 1299 to 1533 of the family's 1533-position model. The record is from RNAcentral. Lineage: Bacteria; Bacillati; Bacillota; Bacilli; Caryophanales; Bacillaceae.